AUGCGUCUGCAUCCGCACGACCCCCAACGAGGGCCCACAGGGGCUCGACCCACUGCGCGGGGAGGGAGGCCCGCGUGGUCGGGGCUCCCACCGGGCCAGGGGAGGGGGGGGCCCGCGUGGACGGAGCUCCCACCGGGCCAGCGGAGAGGGGGAGUCCGCGUGGACGGGGCUCCCACCGGGCCAGGGGAGAGGGGGAGUCCGCGUGGACGGGGCUCCCACCGGGCCAGGGGAGAGGGGGAGUCCGCGUGGACGGGGCUCCCACCGGGCCAGCGGAGAGGGGGAGUCCGCGUGGACGGGGCUCCCACCGGGCCAGCGGAGAGGGGGAGUCCGCGUGGACGGGGCUCCCACCGGGGCAGCGGAGAGGGGGAGUCCGCGUGGACGGGGCUCCCACCGGGCCAGCGGAGAGGGGGAGUCCGCGUGGACGGAGCUCCCACCGGGCCAGGGGAGAGGGGGAGUCCGCGUGGACGGGACUCCCACCGGGCCAGGGGAGAGGGGGAGUCCGCGUGGACGGGACUCCCACCGGGCCAGCGGAGAGGGGGAGUCCGCGUGGACGGAGCUCCCACCGGGCCAGCAGAGAGGGGGAGUCCGCGUGGACGGAGCUCCCACCGGGCCGGGAGAGAGGGGAGGUCCGCGUGGACGGAGCUCCCACCGGGCCAGGGGAGAGGGGGAGUCCGCGUGGACGGGGCUCCCACCGGGCCAGGGGGAGAGGGGGAGUCCGCGUGGACGGAGCUCCCACCGGGCCGGGGGAGAGGGGGAGUCCGCGUGGACGGAGCUCCCACCGGGCCGGGGGAGAGGGGGAGUCCGCGUGGACGGAGCUCCCACCGGGCCGGGGGAGAGGGGGAGUCCGCGUGGACGGGACUCCCACCGGGCCGGGGGAGAGGGGGAGUCCGCGUGGACGGGACUCCCACCGGGCUGGGGAAGAGCGGGAGGGCCCGUCUGGACGGGACUCCCACCGGGCCGGGGAGUCUUCCACCGGGCCGGCGGAAGCGGGGGCGUCCACACGGUCCCCACACGGCUGGGGUCCGCGCCCAGCCCAAAGGCCAUCCCCACCGCCCCCAGCCGCCCGCCCGCCGCCUUCCGGCAAAAUGGAGGCGGACGCCGCCGCCGACGCCGCCUGACGCGGGCCCGUGA
RNAcentral lists this long non-coding RNA (1131 nucleotides) under Zalophus californianus (California sea lion). RNAcentral describes it as "lncRNA (ENSZCAG00015016150.1)". The record is from RNAcentral. Lineage: Eukaryota; Metazoa; Chordata; Mammalia; Carnivora; Otariidae.